CUUCCGGUUGAUCCUGCGGGACCCGACUGCUAUCAGAGUGGGACUAAGCCAUGCGAGUCAACGUAGCAAUACGUGGCAUACGGCUCAGUAACACGUAGUCAACAUGCCCAGGGGACGAGGAUAACCUCGGGAAACUGAGGAUAAACCUCGAUAGGCCAUGAUUUCUGGAAUGAUUCUUGGCUCAAACCUAUAUGGCCCCUGGAUUGGACUGCGGCCGAUCAGGCUGUUGGUGAGGUAAUGGCCCACCAAACCUAUUACCGGUACGGGCUCUGAGAGGAGGAGCCCGGAGAUGGGCACUGAGACAAGGGCCCAGGCCCUAUGGGGCGCAGCAGGCGCGAAACCUCUGCAAUAGGCGAAAGCCUGACAGGGUUACUCUGAGUGAUUUCCGUUAAGGAGAUCUUUUGGCACCUCUAAAAAUGGUGCAGAAUAAGGGGUGGGCAAGUCUGGUGUCAGCCGCCGCGGUAAUACCAGCACCCCGAGUGGUCGGGACGUUUAUUGGGCCUAAAGCAUCCGUAGCCGGUUCUACAAGUCUUCCGUUAAAUCCACCUGCUUAACAGAUGGGCUGCGGAAGAUACUAUAGGGCUAGGAGGCGGGAGAGGCAAGCGGUACUUUAUGGGUAGGGGUAAAAUCCGCUGAUCCAUAGAAGACCACCAGUGGCGAAGGCGGCUUGCCAGAACGCGCUCGACGGUGAGGGAUGAAAGCUGGGGGAGCAAACCGGAUUAGAUACCCGGGUAGUCCCAGCUGUAAACGAUGCAGACUCGGUGAUGGGUUGGCCUCGCGCCUGCCCAGUGCCGCAGGGAAGCCGUUAAGUCUGCCGCCUGGGGAGUACGGUCGCAAGACUGAAACUUAAAGGAAUUGGCGGGGGAGCA
Molecule: ribosomal RNA, 869 nt
Filed under: uncultured archaeon
Lineage: Archaea
Description: bacterial SSU rRNA
Rfam family: Archaeal small subunit ribosomal RNA
Source: RNAcentral